Molecule: non-coding RNA, 509 nt
Organism: Delphinapterus leucas (beluga whale)
Lineage: Eukaryota; Metazoa; Chordata; Mammalia; Artiodactyla; Monodontidae
Source: RefSeq, a predicted model, not a curated record
AGCACAAAGGUUCUCAUAUUAAUAGUUCUUAAAAAUAAAGAACUAUCCAUUAGAUACUUCUGAAAAGGGAAAGUGGAAAUUCAUCAUUUUUAGUGUGUCAGCCUGGAAUCUCUUAUUCUGUACUUUCAUGAGCCACAUUCAUAUUGAAGACCACAUUGAUGAUCUUGAUGGAUGACAAGACCUUGAAGUGCCUUCUGAAACAUCAGGUUCUAGAGGAUGCCCACAUUCCCUGACUCAUGGUCCUUCCUUCAUCUUCAAAGCCAGCAACAGCAGGUCAAGUCCUUCUCGUAUUGCAUCGCCCUGAACUUCUCUUCUGCAUCCCUCUUCCACUUUUAAGGACCUUCGUGAUAAUCGCGUUCCAUGAAGUUCAAACAACGUGUAUGAAAUGGCAGAUGACAUUCUGGAAAAUGCUGUGUAUCUGAAAAAUGACUCUAGUGAUGACAAGGACACUGUGAUCAAAGAUUCAUGUGAAAAGUGUGAAUGACAAUUUUCAUAAAAUGUGAGUUCAA